This 1524-nucleotide long non-coding RNA is filed under the name Eutrema salsugineum. Lineage: Eukaryota; Viridiplantae; Streptophyta; Magnoliopsida; Brassicales; Brassicaceae. The record is from RNAcentral.
GGUGUCCUAACUUAUAUAUCUUGGCACGAAUGCUCGUCGCAGCUGGGCGGGAAAACCCAUAUAAACAGUGCAACACACGCGAAGAGAUUUCAUUGCGGACUCAAAGCCAAAGGAUAUAUGCUAAUGCGAUACAUAUACUAACGGGUGCGAUCAUACCAGCACUAAUGCACCGGAUUCCAUCAGAACCCCGCAGUUAAGCAUGCUUGGGCGAGAGUAGUCCUAGGAUGGGUGACCUCCCGGGAAGUCCUCGUGUUGCACCCCUUUUUUGUUCCUCUUGAUUUUUUUUGUUUUUUUUUUUGGUCUUUUCAUUUUAAAAACAAUGCAUCUUCCGAACGACGCUAUUUCAAGACCGUGUGGAACCAGGCCUCCUACAGCAACUUUUCGGAAAGCCCCAAGAGUGCUCUCGGACUUGCCCAAGGGUCUAAAGACCAUGGGUGUGGUUUACGAGGCCAAAAUUUUGAGUUUUAGACCCUCUUCCAGGCGUUUUUCUAAAACAUAAGCCCCGGUUUUAGUGUCGUCAAACGUGGUGUCCUAACUUAUAUAUCUUGGCACGAAUGCUCGUCGCAGCUGGGCGGGAAAACCCAUAUAAACAGUGCAACACACGCGAAGAGAUUUCAUUGCGGACUCAAAGGCAAAGGAUAAAUGCUAAUGCGAUACAUAUACUGAUGGGUGCGAUCAUACCAGCACUAAUGCACCGAAUCCCAUCAGAACACCGCAGUUAAGCGUGCUUGGGCGAGAGUAGUACUAGGAUGGGUGACCUCCCGGGAAGUCCUCGUGUUGCACCCCUUUUUUGUUCCUCUUGAUUUUUUUGUUUUUUUUGUUUUUGGUCUUUUCAUUUGAAAAACAAGGCAUCUUCCGAAGGACGCUAUUUCUAGACCGUGUGGAACCACACCUCCUACAACAACUUUUCGGAAAGCCCCUAGAGUGCUCUCGGGCUUGCCCAAGCGUCUAAAGACCAAGGGUGCGGUUUACGAGGCCAAAAUUUUGAGUUUUAGACCCUCUUCCGGGCGUUUUUCUAAAACAUAAAUCUUGGUUUUAGUGUCGUCAAACGUGGUGUCCUAACUUAUAUAUCUUGGCACGAAUGCUCGUCGCAGCUGGGCGGGAAAACCCAUAUAAACAGUGCAACACACGCGAAGAGAUUUCAUUGCGGACUCAGAGCCAAAGGAUAUAUGCUAAUGCGAUACAUAUACUAAUGGGUGGGAUCAUACCAGCACUAAUGCACCGAAUCCCAUCAGAACACCGCAGUUAAGCGUGCUUGGGCAAGAGUACUACUAGGAUGGGUGACCUCUCGGGAAGUCCUCGUGUUGCACUCCUUUUUUGUUCCUCUUGAUUUUUUUGGUUUUUUUUUUUUUGGUCUUUCAUUGAAAAACAAGGCAUCUUCCGAAAGACGCUAUUUCUAGACUGUGUGGAACCACACCUCCUACAACAACUUUUCGGAAAGCCCCUAGAGUGCUCUCGGGCUUGCCCAAGAGUCUAAAGACCAAGGGUGCGGUUUACGAGGCCAAAAUUAGAGUUUUAGACCCU